RNAcentral lists this transfer RNA (70 nucleotides) under Chaetodon speculum (mirror butterflyfish). RNAcentral describes it as "tRNA-His". It matches the Rfam family "tRNA". Rfam says of the family: Transfer RNA (tRNA) molecules are approximately 80 nucleotides in length. The record is from RNAcentral. Lineage: Eukaryota; Metazoa; Chordata; Actinopteri; Chaetodontiformes; Chaetodontidae.
GUAGGCAUAGUUUAAUAUAAAACUUUAGAUUGUGAUUCUAAAAAUAGAGGUUAAACCCCUCUUGCUCACC